CAUGCUGUCCCUGUGUGGCAUGUUCAUGCCCAUGCCACCUCAUGACUCCAAAUAGGAUGACAAGCAAUGAAGGGGGGCAGAAGAGGGCAUUGGAGAAGAGCAAGGCUCUCUUUCUUCGGAAAAGAUACCCCUCCACUGAGGAGAAGUCAGAGCUGUUGGUGAGGGGGCUUCAGAUGAAGACGGUGAACAAAUGGUUCAUUAAUUACCGAUACACCAUGUUUCUUGAACUGCGGAGGCGGGCAGCAAAGAAAAUCAAAAUGGAGAGCACUGAGGCUGAUGUGGAG
This is a long non-coding RNA of Salarias fasciatus (jewelled blenny), 284 nucleotides long. RefSeq lists it as uncharacterized. Lineage: Eukaryota; Metazoa; Chordata; Actinopteri; Blenniiformes; Blenniidae. The transcript has 3 exons. The record is from RefSeq and is a predicted model, not a curated record.